AGAGUUUGAUCCUGGCUCAGGAUGAACGCUAGCGGCAGGCCUAAUACAUGCAAGUCGAACGAUACUUUCCAGCUUGCUGGGGAGGAAAGUGGCGCACGGGUGCGUAACGCGUAUGCAACCUACCUUAAUCAGGGGGAUAGCCCGAAGAAAUUCGGAUUAACACCGCAUAAAAACACAGGGUAGCAUUACCUAAUGUUCAAAUAUUUAUAGGAUUAAGAUGGGCAUGCGUGUCAUUAGCUAGUUGGCGGGGUAACGGCCCACCAAGGCGACGAUGACUAGGGGAUCUGAGAGGAUGACCCCCCACACUGGUACUGAGACACGGACCAGACUCCUACGGGAGGCAGCAGUAAGGAAUAUUGGUCAAUGGAGGGAACUCUGAACCAGCCAUGCCGCGUGCAGGAAGACGGCCCUCUGGGUUGUAAACUGCUUUUAUUCGGGAAUAAACCUAUUUACGUGUAAAUAGCUGAAUGUACCGAAGGAAUAAGGAUCGGCUAACUCCGUGCCAGCAGCCGCGGUAAUACGGAGGAUCCAAGCGUUAUCCGGAUUUAUUGGGUUUAAAGGGUGCGUAGGCGGCUUAUUAAGUCAGGGGUGAAAGACGGUGGCUCAACCAUCGCAGUGCCCUUGAUACUGAUGAGCUUGAAUGGACUAGAGGUAGGCGGAAUGUGACAAGUAGCGGUGAAAUGCAUAGAUAUGUCACAGAACACCGAUUGCGAAGGCAGCUUACUAUGGUUUAAUUGACGCUGAGGCACGAAAGCGUGGGGAUCAAACAGGAUUAGAUACCCUGGUAGUCCACGCC
Molecule: ribosomal RNA, 796 nt
Filed under: Tuber microsphaerosporum
Lineage: Eukaryota; Fungi; Ascomycota; Pezizomycetes; Pezizales; Tuberaceae
Description: bacterial SSU rRNA
Rfam family: Bacterial small subunit ribosomal RNA
Source: RNAcentral